UGGGGAAUAUUGGACAAUGCGGGAAACCGUGAUCCAGCAAUGCCGCGUGAGUGAUGAAGGCCUUAGGGUUGUAAAGCUCUUUUACCAGGGAUGAUAAUGACAGUACCUGGAGAAUAAGCUCCGGCUAACUCCGUGCCAGCAGCCGCGGUAAUACGGAGGGAGCUAGCGUUGUUCGGAAUUACUGGGCGUAAAGCGCGCGUAGGCGGCUAUUUAAGUCAGGGGUGAAAUCCCGGGGCUCAACCCCGGAACUGCCUUUGAAACUGGAUAGCUAGAAUACUGGAGAGGUGAGUGGAAUUCCGAGUGUAGAGGUGAAAUUCGUAGAUAUUCGGAAGAACACCAGUGGCGAAGGCGACUCACUGGACAGUUAUUGACGCUGAGGUGCGAAAGCGUGGGGAGCAAACAGGAUUAGAUACCCCCGUAGUCC
This 424-nucleotide ribosomal RNA is filed under the name uncultured prokaryote. RNAcentral describes it as "bacterial SSU rRNA". It matches the Rfam family "Bacterial small subunit ribosomal RNA", at positions 355 to 796 of the family's 1533-position model. The record is from RNAcentral.